UACGUAGGGCGCAAGCGUUGUCCGGAAUUAUUGGGCGUAAAGAGCUCGUAGGCGGUCUGUCGCGUCUGCCGUGAAAGUCCGGGGCUCAACUCCGGAUCUGCGGUGGGUACGGGCAGACUAGAGUGAUGUAGGGGAGACUGGAAUUCCUGGUGUAGCGGUGAAAUGCGCAGAUAUCAGGAGGAACACCGAUGGCGAAGGCAGGUCUCUGGGCAUUAACUGACGCUGAGGAGCGAAAGCAUGGGGAGCGAACAGG
RNAcentral lists this ribosomal RNA (253 nucleotides) under uncultured bacterium. RNAcentral describes it as "partial 16S ribosomal RNA". It matches the Rfam family "Bacterial small subunit ribosomal RNA", at positions 524 to 776 of the family's 1533-position model. The record is from RNAcentral.